Molecule: ribosomal RNA, 486 nt
Filed under: uncultured bacterium
Lineage: Bacteria
Description: partial 16S ribosomal RNA
Rfam family: Bacterial small subunit ribosomal RNA
Source: RNAcentral
AUUGAACGCUGGCGGCAUGCCUUACACAUGCAAGUCGAACGGCAGCACGGGUGCUUGCACCUGGUGGCGAGUGGCGAACGGGUGAGUAAUACAUCGGAACAUGUCCUGUAGUGGGGGAUAGCCCGGCGAAAGCCGGAUUAAUACCGCAUACGAUCCACGGAUGGAAGCGGGGGACCUUCGGGCCUCGCGCUAUAGGGUUGGCCGAUGGCUGAUUAGCUAGUUGGUGGGGUAAAGGCCUACCAAGGCGACGAUCAGUAGCUGGUCUGAGAGGACGACCAGCCACACUGGGACUGAGACACGGCCCAGACUCCUACGGGAGGCAGCAGUGGGGAAUUUUGGACAAAGGGCGAAAGCCUGAUCCAGCAAUGCCGCGUGUGUGAAGAAGGCCUUCGGGUUGUAAAGCACUUUUGUCCGGAAAGAAAUCCUUGACUCUAAUACAGUCGGGGGAUGACGGUACCGGAAGAAUAAGCACCGGCUAACUACGUG